GUAUAAUGAGAAGCAGGAUGCU
RNAcentral lists this non-coding RNA (22 nucleotides) under Arabidopsis thaliana (thale cress). The record is from RNAcentral. Lineage: Eukaryota; Viridiplantae; Streptophyta; Magnoliopsida; Brassicales; Brassicaceae.